GAUGAAGAACGCAGCGAAAUGCGAUACGUAAUGUGAAUUGCAGAAUUCAGUGAAUCAUCGAAUCUUUGAACGCAUAUUGCGCUCUCUGGUAUUCCGGAGAGCAUGCUUGUUUGAGUAUCAGUAAACACCUCAACUUCCAUAUCUUUUUUGAAAUGGGAGUUGGACUUGAGUGAUCCCAACGCUUUUCCUCACCGAAAAGUGGCGGGUUACUUGAAAUGUAGGUGCAGCUGGACUUUUCUCUGAGCUAUAAGCAUAUCUAUUUAGUCUGCCUAAAAAACAGAUUAUUACCUUUGCUGCAGCUAACAUAAAGGAGAUUAGUUCUUGUGCUGACUGAUGCAGGAUUCACAAAGACAGGCUUCGGCCGACUUUGUAAACUCGAUCUCAAAUCAAGUAAGACUACCCGCUGAACUUAAGCAUAUCAAUAAGCGGAGGA
This 433-nucleotide unclassified non-coding RNA is filed under the name soil metagenome. RNAcentral describes it as "partial contains 5.8S ribosomal RNA, internal transcribed spacer 2, and large subunit ribosomal RNA". The stretch from base 1 to 120 matches the Rfam family "5.8S ribosomal RNA", at positions 35 to 154 of the family's 154-position model. The record is from RNAcentral.